AUGCAGUCGACGAUGAUCCGGUGCUUGCNUCGGGGAUUAGUGGCGAACGGGUGAGUAACACGUGAGUAACCUGCCCUUAACUCUGGGAUAAGCCUGGGAAACUGGGUCUAAUACCGGAUAUGACUCCUCAUCGCAUGGUGGGGGGUGGAAAGCUUUAUUGUGGUUUUGGAUGGACUCGCGGCCUAUCAGCUUGUUGGUGAGGUAAUGGCUCACCAAGGCGACGACGGGUAGCCGGCCUGANAGGGUGACCGGCCACACUGGGACUGAGACACGGCCCAGACUCCUACGGGAGGCAGCAGUGGGGAAUAUUGCACAAUGGGCGCAAGCCUGAUGCAGCGACGCCGCGUGAGGGAUGACGGCCUUCGGGUUGUAAACCUCUUUCAGUAGGGAAGAAGCGAAAGUGACGGUACCUGCAGAAGAAGCGCCGGCUAACUACGUGCCAGCAGCCGCGGUAAUACGUAGGGCGCAAGCGUUAUCCGGAAUUAUUGGGCGUAAAGAGCUCGUAGGCGGUUUGUCGCGUCUGCCGUGAAAGUCCGGGGCUCAACUCCGGAUCUGCGGUGGGUACGGGCANACUAAANUGAUGUAGGGGAGACUGGNAAUUCCUGGUGUANCGGUGAAAUGCNCAUAUAUCAGGAGGAACNNCCGAUGGA
Molecule: ribosomal RNA, 650 nt
Filed under: Arthrobacter sp.
Lineage: Bacteria; Bacillati; Actinomycetota; Actinomycetes; Micrococcales; Micrococcaceae
Description: bacterial SSU rRNA
Rfam family: Bacterial small subunit ribosomal RNA
Source: RNAcentral